This 464-nucleotide ribosomal RNA is filed under the name uncultured bacterium. RNAcentral's name for it is "bacterial SSU rRNA". It matches the Rfam family "Bacterial small subunit ribosomal RNA", at positions 331 to 792 of the family's 1533-position model. The record is from RNAcentral.
CCAGACUCCUACGGGAGGCAGCAGUGAGGAAUAUUGGUCAAUGGACGAGAGUCUGAACCAGCCAAGUAGCGUGAAGGAUGACUGCCCUAUGGGUUGUAAACUUCUUUUAUAUGGGAAUAAAACAGGGUAUGCAUACCCUCUUGUAUGUACCAUAUGAAUAAGGAUCGGCUAACUCCGUGCCAGCAGCCGCGGUAAUACGGAGGAUCCGAGCGUUAUCCGGAUUUAUUGGGUUUAAAGGGAGCGUAGGUGGAUUGUUAAGUCAGUUGUGAAAGUUUGCGGCUCAACCGUAAAAUUGCAGUUGAAACUGGCAGUCUUGAGUACAGUAGAGGUGGGCGGAAUUCGUGGUGUAGCGGUGAAAUGCUUAGAUAUCACGAAGAACUCCGAUUGCGAAGGCAGCUCACUGGACUGCAACUGACACUGAUGCUCGAAAGUGUGGGUAUCAAACAGGAUUAGAUACCCCAGUA